GGGCAGGCUACAGUAGAGAAUGAUCGUGGCUCAAUCUCUCGUAUCAGGUGUGGCGCUUGAGUCAUGAUUUACAUUUGAGUGAGUGGCGAACUGGUGAGUAACACGUGGGAAACCUGCCCAGAAGCGGGGGAUAACACCUGGAAACAGAUGCUAAUACCGCAUAACAACUUGGACCGCAUGGUCCGAGUUUGAAAGAUGGCUUCGGCUAUCACUUUUGGAUGGUCCCGCGGCGUAUUAGCUAGAUGGUGGGGUAACGGCUCACCAUGGCAAUGAUACGUAGCCGACCUGAGAGGGUAAUCGGCCACAUUGGGACUGAGACACGGCCCAAACUCCUACGGGAGGCAGCAGUAGGGAAUCUUCCACAAUGGACGAAAGUCUGAUGGAGCAACGCCGCGUGAGUGAAGAAGGGUUUCGGCUCGUAAAACUCUGUUGUUAAAGAAGAACAUAUCUGAGAGUAACUGUUCAGGUAUUGACGGUAUUUAACCAGAAAGCCACGGCUAACUACGUGCCAGCAGCCGCGGUAAUACGUAGGUGGCAAGCGUUGUCCGGAUUUAUUGGGCGUAAAGCGAGCGCAGGCGGUUUUUUAAGUCUGAUGUGAAAGCCUUCGGCUCAACCGAAGAAGUGCAUCGGAAACUGGGAAACUUGAGUGCAGAAGAGGACAGUGGAACUCCAUGUGUAGCGGUGAAAUGCGUAGAUAUAUGGAAGAACACCAGUGGCGAAGGCGGCUGUCUGGUCUGUAACUGACGCUGAGGCUCGAAAGUAUGGGUAGCAAACAGGAUUAGAUACCCUGGUAGUCCAUACCGUAAACGAUGAAUGCUAAGUGUUGGAGGGUUUCCGCCCUUCAGUGCUGCAGCUAACGCAUUAAGCAUUCCGCCUGGGGAGUACGGCCGCAAGGCUGAAACUCAAAGGAAUUGACGGGGGCCCGCACAAGCGGUGGAGCAUGUGGUUUAAUUCGAAGCUACGCGAAGAACCUUACCAGGUCUUGACAUACUAUGCAAAUCUAAGAGAUUAGACGUUCCCUUCGGGGACAUGGAUACAGGUGGUGCAUGGUUGUCGUCAGCUCGUGUCGUGAGAUGUUGGGUUAAGUCCCGCAACGAGCGCAACCCUUAUUAUCAGUUGCCAGCAUUAAGUUGGGCACUCUGGUGAGACUGCCGGUGACAAACCGGAGGAAGGUGGGGAUGACGUCAAAUCAUCAUGCCCCUUAUGACCUGGGCUACACACGUGCUACAAUGGAUGGUACAACGAGUUGCGAACUCGCGAGAGUAAGCUAAUCUCUUAAAGCCAUUCUCAGUUCGGAUUGUAGGCUGCAACUCGCCUACAUGAAGUCGGAAUCGCUAGUAAUCGCGGAUCAGCAUGCCGCGGUGAAUACGUUCCCGGGCCUUGUACACCCCGCCCGUCACACCAUGACAAGGUAACCAUCGAGUUUGAUCUGGGCUCCGUAAGUGGUAACAAGGUAACCAUAGAGUCAGCCC
This 1472-nucleotide ribosomal RNA is filed under the name Lactiplantibacillus plantarum. RNAcentral's name for it is "bacterial SSU rRNA". It matches the Rfam family "Bacterial small subunit ribosomal RNA". The record is from RNAcentral. Lineage: Bacteria; Bacillati; Bacillota; Bacilli; Lactobacillales; Lactobacillaceae.